Molecule: ribosomal RNA, 372 nt
Filed under: uncultured organism
Description: partial 16S ribosomal RNA
Rfam family: Bacterial small subunit ribosomal RNA
Source: RNAcentral
GUAGGGGCUAGCGUUGCUCGGAUUUACUGGGCGUAAAGAGCGCGUAGGCGGCCAGGUAAGUCCGGUGUGAAAGCCCUCGGCUCAACCGAGGAUCCGCAUCGGAAACUACCUGGCUUGAGUCCAGGAGAGGAGGGUGGAAUUCCCGAUGUAGCGGUGAAAUGCGUAGAUAUCGGGAGGAACACCUGUGGCGAAGGCGGCCCUCUGGAAUGGUACUGACGCUGAGGCGCGAAAGCUGGGGGAGCGAACGGGAUUAGAUACCCCGGUAGUCCCAGCUGUAAACGAUGGGCACUAGGUGUGGGAGGUAUUGACCCCCCUUCCGUGCCGCAGCUAACGCAUUAAGUGCCCCGCCUGGGGAGUACGGCCGCAAGGUUG